Molecule: transfer RNA, 73 nt
Filed under: Capra hircus (goat)
Lineage: Eukaryota; Metazoa; Chordata; Mammalia; Artiodactyla; Bovidae
Also listed under: 1 other name
Rfam family: tRNA
About the family: Transfer RNA (tRNA) molecules are approximately 80 nucleotides in length. Their secondary structure includes four short double-helical elements and three loops (D, anti-codon, and T loops).
Source: Rfam by way of RNAcentral
UCCCUGGUGGUCCAGUGGCUAAGACUCCAUGCUCCCAAUGCAGGGGGCCUGGGUUCAAUCCCUGGCCAGGGAA